AUUGAACGCUGGCGGCAGUCCUAACACAUGCAAGUCGAACGAGUGGCGGACGGAUGAGUAAUGUCUGGGAAACUGCCUGAUGGAGGGGGAUAACUACUUGAAACGGUAGCUAAUACCGCAUACCAUCAGAUGUGCCCAGGUGGGAUUAGCUAGUUGGGGGGGUAAAGGCUUACCAAGACGACGAUCCCUAGCUGGUCUGAGAGGAUGACCAGCAACACUGGAACUGAGACACGGUCCAGACUCCUACGGUAGGCAGCAGUGGGGAAUAUUGCACAAUGGGCGAAAGCCUGAUGCAGCCAUGCCGCGUGUAUGAAGAAGGCCUUCGGGUUGUAAAGUACUUUCAGCGGGGAGGCGUUACCCGCAGAAGAAGCACCGGCUAACUCCGUGCCAGCAGCCGCGGUAAUUC
This 406-nucleotide ribosomal RNA is filed under the name uncultured bacterium. RNAcentral's name for it is "partial 16S ribosomal RNA". It matches the Rfam family "Bacterial small subunit ribosomal RNA", at positions 30 to 526 of the family's 1533-position model. The record is from RNAcentral.